This is a long non-coding RNA of Fukomys damarensis (Damara mole-rat), 215 nucleotides long. RefSeq lists it as uncharacterized. The transcript has 3 exons. NCBI's taxonomy places the organism in Eukaryota, Metazoa, Chordata, Mammalia, Rodentia, Bathyergidae. The record is from RefSeq and is a predicted model, not a curated record.
CAUGUUGCAACCGCUCGCGCAAUCCAGCACCUCUCUGGAAUUCGCCAGAGCCGAACACAAGCGCGCUCCUGGGUCUGCUUCAUUCCUGGGACAGAGUGGAGUGGUGAAGAAUCAGGGAUCUGGGAAAAGCUAGCACUGUUUACUCUUCAUGGUGGCGGGGGAACCCAGGAUCUUGUUUUCUGUAACCACGUGCUUAUCUAAGAUUAACUCUUGUC